Molecule: ribosomal RNA, 324 nt
Filed under: Gymnodinium catenatum
Lineage: Eukaryota; Dinophyceae; Gymnodiniales; Gymnodiniaceae
Description: partial Bacterial large subunit ribosomal RNA
Rfam family: Bacterial large subunit ribosomal RNA
Source: RNAcentral
CAAUUCCGCCCAGGGUUAGCCGGUCCCUAAGGCGAGGGCGAAAGCCGUAGUCGAUGGGAAGCGCGUUAAUAUUCGUGCACCGCUGUUAGUGUUGAAAGAGGAGUGACGGCGUGAUGAAGUUCAUCCAGCUGUUAGAUGCUGGUUCCUGGUCUGGGGUGGCGAAUAGGAAAAUCCGUUCGCGUAAUCUCCGGAUUGGGUGGCAACUGAGUGGAAGCACGUCCAAGAAAACCUUCGCUGGAGCGAAACAGUGACCGUACCAAAUCUGACACAGGAGGGCGAGGCGAAUAGCCUCAGGCGCUCGAGAGAACCAUACGUGGAGGAACU